UACGAAGGGUGCAAACGUUGCUUGGAAUUAUUGGGCGUAAAGAGCUCGUAGGCGGUCUGUUACGUCUGCUGUGAAAACCCGGGGCUUAACCCUGGGCUUGCAGUGGAUACGGGCAGACUAGAGGCAGGUAGGGGAGAAUGGAAUUCCCGGUGUAGCGGUGAAAUGCGCAGAUAUCGGGAGGAACACCGGUGGCGAAGGCGGUUCUCUGGGCCUGAUCUGACGCUGAGGAGCGAAAGCGUGGGGAGCGAACAGG
Molecule: ribosomal RNA, 253 nt
Filed under: uncultured bacterium
Lineage: Bacteria
Description: partial 16S ribosomal RNA
Rfam family: Bacterial small subunit ribosomal RNA
Source: RNAcentral